GACGAACGCUGGCGGCGUGCCUAAUACAUGCAAGUCGAGCGGACUUUCAAGAAGCUUGCUUUUUGAAAGUUAGCGGCGGACGGGUGAGUAACACGUGGGCAACCUGCCUGCAAGACGGGGAUAACUCCGGGAAACCGGGGCUAAUACCGGAUAAUAUCUUCCUUCGCAUGAAGGAAGGUUGAAAGGCGGCGCAAGCUGCCGCUUGCAGAUGGGCCCGCGGCGCAUUAGCUAGUUGGUGAGGUAACGGCUCACCAAGGCGACGAUGCGUAGCCGACCUGAGAGGGUGAUCGGCCACACUGGGACUGAGACACGGCCCAGACUCCUACGGGAGGCAGCAGUAGGGAAUCUUCCGCAAUGGACGAAAGUCGGACGGAGCAACGCCGCGUGAGCGAAGAAGGUCGUCGGAUCGUAAAGCUCUGUUGUCAGGGAAGAACAAGUACCGUUCGAACAGGGCGGUACCUUGACGGUACCUGACCAGAAAGCCACGGCUAACUACGUG
RNAcentral lists this ribosomal RNA (499 nucleotides) under uncultured bacterium. Its description in RNAcentral is "partial 16S ribosomal RNA". It matches the Rfam family "Bacterial small subunit ribosomal RNA", at positions 28 to 507 of the family's 1533-position model. The record is from RNAcentral.